Molecule: small RNA, 745 nt
Filed under: Pongo abelii (Sumatran orangutan)
Lineage: Eukaryota; Metazoa; Chordata; Mammalia; Primates; Hominidae
Description: retained intron
Source: RNAcentral
CGUCAUCUCAGUACCUGGAUUUGACGCGGCCUCCAUGAGUGUCAACUGCAGCGCCACUUCCUUUGACAGCUGGAUUUAAGACAAAUAUAAAUUUUAAAACCAAAAGUCAGAAAUUGAUCCUUGAGAGUGGCUUCUAUUCUUUUCUCAGGUAGAAAUGGGAUAUUAUAGGACAAGAAUUAACCUUUUUGAAGGGACUUAGACUCCUGAACACUUAUCCAUUCAGUUUCAGAAAAAGAGAGUUUCCUUAGCUUGCUGCCUCACCAGGGGUGUGGGUGCAUAUGUGCUUGUGUGAUUUUUAAAGAGAAGCCCUGAGUCUUUGAGUAUUUGUAGAAUUUAAAGCACUUCCAUAGACAUCGUCCUUUUUUUCCCCCCUUCAGAUAGAUAAAAGCCCAGAAGGACAGUUCACUCAGCUGAUGACAUUGCCCAAAAGCUUACAGCAACAGAUAAAUCAUAUUAUGGACCCUCCUGGAAAAAACAGAGAUGUGGAAGAAACUUUAUUCCAAGUGGCUCAUGAUCCCGACUGUGGAGAUGUGGUGCGACUAGGGCUUUCAGCAAUCGUGAGACCAUCUAGUAUAAGACAGAGCACGAAAGGCAUUUUUACUGCUGGCCUGAAGAAGUCAGUGAUUUAUAGUUCACUAAAACUGCACAAAAUGUGGAAAGGGUGGCUGAGGAAAACAUCCUGAUUUGCUUGCUUUUAUAUGUGUUAUGUAUAGAUGAAUAAAGUGUUUGAUCCUUUUUGACAGAA